Bufo bufo (common toad) is the source of this 76-nucleotide small nucleolar RNA. RefSeq annotates it as small nucleolar RNA SNORD47. Lineage: Eukaryota; Metazoa; Chordata; Amphibia; Anura; Bufonidae. The record is from RefSeq and is a predicted model, not a curated record. The transcript has a single exon.
UUACAGUGAUGAAACUGAUUCUGCCAUAUGAUGAAGGAUGAUUAUAUCUUCAACCGUUCCACUUUUUUCUGAGAAC